This 1376-nucleotide long non-coding RNA is filed under the name Ficedula albicollis (Collared flycatcher). RNAcentral describes it as "lncRNA (ENSFALG00000028424.1)". The record is from RNAcentral. Lineage: Eukaryota; Metazoa; Chordata; Aves; Passeriformes; Muscicapidae.
GCAAUCUGCUGAGGAGCCAAGGGCAGGGCUGGCAGCCUGGCACAGUGCUGUGUGAGCAUUAGGAACAGAGACUCUGUCAACAAGUGGUGCCAUGGGGAGAGAAGCAGCCAUGCAGGGCUGUAAGGACAGUGCAGGGACGCCUCCAGGUGUGCAGGUGGGUGCUGCAGCUGCACCCUCUGCUGUGAGCAGACAGGUGUGAGUGUAGGAGGCAGCCUUUCCCGAUGGAUUACAGCUGGACUGAUUGUGGAGGAGCAGGAACAGCCUUGCUGCCCAGCGAGGAGGGGGGCUAUAAAAGAGUGGGCUAGUUCUUGACAGUAACUUGCAGAUGGAGUUGGAGGUUGAGACUCAGAGCCUGCUGCAGUUUGGGAUGGAGGCUGCUGGCUGUGCUGUGAGGAGCAAGGGACAGACAAGAGCCAGGAAAGCUGGUGAAGUGUCAGCAGAUCAUGCCCAGCAGUUGGUGGAAGGAGCACAGAGAUGCUGAGCUGAAGGCUGCUUUGCAAGUUGAGUGCACUUGUAUGUUCUGGAAGAGAUAUGUGCAAUACAAAGGGAAUCUGGAUCUCAAAUAAGCUAAAGUUUACAGAAGUGUCUUCAACUCUCUGGAGGAGCAGUGCUGAAACCUGAGAAACAGAGAGCACAGAUUAUUGAAGUGCAUAGACUGUGGAAAAACACAGCGCAGCAAUUUUUAUUUAAUUGCACAAUAUAAAAUUGACCCCUCUGUACCUGGGUUUUCUGUUCUUUACAAAUCCUCUCCUUCCACUUUAAACACUGCUAUCCAGCUGAGCCAGUGGCUCAGUUUGGGAGUGAAUAUUGUGAGUACCAUGGGACUCACUCUGCUCCAUAUAUUGUUGCUAUAAAGCUUUAAAUGGUGAAUCAUUGCAAUGAUAAAGAAUGUAAAAAGCCAUAUAAUAAGCACAGCUUUCAGUUAUUUACCAUACUACUAAAAGUAUUUUUAAAUGUCACUGGAACCAGCUAUAAAAAACUUUGUGGUACUCAUUUAAUGGUGAGAUAAAAUCAGUAAUAUAUAUUUUGGGUCGUAGAGAGAGAGAACUGAAGAGGGACAGAUUUUGUACAGGAUAUUUUUUAAUGGCUGCUGGUCUUGGACUUGUAAACCUUGUACUGAAUUAUGAAAAUCAGGGCUGCAGCACAGUGUUAACGUUCACAUUUUUUAAUGUGGAAAAGGCAGUUAUAGGAGACACUGUGUGGCUGUGAAUAAGGAGUUACACUCACUGCAAAAGAAACCUGCUCUUGUUGCAACUAGAAAAAUACAAUCUUCAAAGUCCCAGCUCGUUCCCGGCCUUGGUGAUCUCUACUUGCAUCAGAGAGAGGUGGUUUCUGUGGGGUGAGACAAAGCUCCUUUUGUCUGAAGUGGCAAUGGC